GCCCGGGUGGCGGAAUCGGCAGACGCGGCGGACUUAAAAUCCGCUGUCCGAAAGGACAUGUGAGUUCAAGUCUCACCCCGGGCACCA
Molecule: transfer RNA, 87 nt
Filed under: Actinomycetes bacterium
Lineage: Bacteria; Bacillati; Actinomycetota; Actinomycetes
Also listed under: 1 other name
Description: Actinobacteria bacterium tRNA-Leu
Rfam family: tRNA
About the family: Transfer RNA (tRNA) molecules are approximately 80 nucleotides in length. Their secondary structure includes four short double-helical elements and three loops (D, anti-codon, and T loops).
Source: RNAcentral